This 261-nucleotide long non-coding RNA is filed under the name Marmota monax (woodchuck). Lineage: Eukaryota; Metazoa; Chordata; Mammalia; Rodentia; Sciuridae. The record is from RNAcentral.
UGGUAAGUGGUUAUCAAAUGAAACAUUAGAUUUGCACAUGAUUAUUGCCCAAGUAUUUAACUCAUUAGCUAACUCAUCAAUUUGAUUCAUAGUAUAUGGAGUAAUAAUUUUAUUGGGAGAAAUCCCAAACAAUAACAAUAAAUAAUAAAGGCAAACUUAUAUCAAUUCUAUCCAAAUGCAUAUUUUCCAUAUAUGUUUCAAUGAUUUUUAAUGCCUUUCUUGCUUCAGGCGUUAACAUUCGGGGUGAAUUUGGAUCUGAUG